Molecule: ribosomal RNA, 490 nt
Filed under: uncultured bacterium
Lineage: Bacteria
Description: partial 16S ribosomal RNA
Rfam family: Bacterial small subunit ribosomal RNA
Source: RNAcentral
AUUGAACGCUGGCGGCAGGCCUAACACAUGCAAGUCGAACGGUAACAGGAAGCAGCUUGCUGCUUCGCUGACGAGUGGCGGACGGGUGAGUAAUGUCUGGGAAGCUGCCUGAUGGAGGGGGAUAACUACUGGAAACGGUAGCUAAUACCGCAUAAUGUCGCAAGACCAAAGAGGGGGACCUUCGGGCCUCUUGCCAUCGGAUGUGCCCAGAUGGGAUUAGCUUGUUGGUGGGGUAACGGCUCACCAAGGCGACGAUCCCUAGCUGGUCUGAGAGGAUGACCAGCCACACUGGAACUGAGACACGGUCCAGACUCCUACGGGAGGCAGCAGUGGGGAAUAUUGCACAAUGGGCGCAAGCCUGAUGCAGCAAUGCCGCGUGUAUGAAGAAGGCCUUCGGGUUGUAAAGUACUUUCAGCGGGGAGGAAGGGAGUAAAGUUAAUACCUUUGCUCAUUGACGUUACCCGCAGAAGAAGCACCGGCUAACUCCGUG